Leopardus geoffroyi (Geoffroy's cat) is the source of this 877-nucleotide long non-coding RNA. RefSeq lists it as uncharacterized. The record is from RefSeq and is a predicted model, not a curated record. Lineage: Eukaryota; Metazoa; Chordata; Mammalia; Carnivora; Felidae. The transcript is spliced from 3 exons.
GAAGGCAGCAAGAUAUCAUGAAGGCCUUUAGGACCGCUUAAAGCACGGCUUGGGCAUUUGCAAGCCGGCUCAUAGCUCUUUAGUGCUCUGCGUUGUACCUGUAGCAGCCUCGGUUCCAAUCCCGCUCGAAGCAGGGUCUCCUGAGGUGGUGGCGAGUGCUAGAUUUAAACCUGCGCGAGCUGCCCCAUUUGCCUGCGGCACGAGAGCACGGUUUCCCGCGAUUCCAGAGCUCUGCGCUGAGAAAAAGGGAACCUCCGCCGUGCAUGCUGAAGUCUCGGUCGUCUUGAGAUGCUUGACUGCCCUACGUCUGGAAGGAGGCCGACAGCCUGUUGUCAGAAGCAGGACCUGAGGUGAUUUCAGCAAGGCAGGACCGGUGUCUCCUGAAAUUGGGUGCGGUCUCUACAGGAGACUAGUGCUCACCGCUCCUAGCUUGUAUACUUACGGACAGCCUUCUACUCGCACCGGACUCAAAAGAGACAUAGGGGGAGAGAACCUCAGUUAUCGCCCAGAUCUUCUGGAGUAAGUUAGACACACCAGUCCAGCCUCCUGAACCGUCACUGGGUCCUGACCACCUAUUUGGGGGAGAGAACUGGUAUUCAUCUCAAAGUCUGGAAGAAAAGGUCUGGGAGGCACCAAACAAUGGGUGGGCAAAGAGAAUGUGUCAGCAAGUGAAAAUCAACUUUCCAUGGGUCCACGGCAGAUAUGGACCAGAGACCAGAAACAACAUGAAUCUCUGAUGUUUUUCUACAGAGUUCUGUUAUCAACUUGUAAAGAGCCGACUUCAGAAUUAGACUUUUCCAAAUCCUAUAUUUGGAUUUGGCCAUGAAGCCAAAACUUCACAGCAUUGCCGGACAUUAAAUCUCCUAGGCAAGCCUUU